AAGGGCACCACAAGAUUGCGUGGAGCAUGUGGCUUAAUUUGACUCAACGCGGGGAAUCUUACCGGGUCCGGACACACUGAGGAUUGACAGGCGCAAGGAGCUUCGGCUCUGUAAAUUUGCUAGUCCUUUCAUGAUUGUGUGAUAGGUGGUGCAUGGCCGUUCUUAGUUCGUGGAAUAAUCUGUCUGCUUAAUUGCGUUUUUUCAAUUGUGCCUUGAUUCCCAACAUACCUUCUGUGUAUGUGUGAGUAAGUUCGCUUUUACGUGUUCUUGCUCCGCAUGCCAGUUAGGUGGGAUUUCAGGGCCUUCUGGAACGAACGAGACCCCAACCCUUCUUUUUCAGUGUCAUACAACGAAUUGUUGUUACUUUUUGUCUUUCGGUUGUGGGGCCAUUCAUUUGGUUCUUGCGCUGAUUGGCAUUUUACGACGCUGUUAACAGAAGGGGACUGUUACAUCCUAAUGUAAAGGAAGGUUGGGGCAAUAACAGGUCUGUGAUGCCCUUAGAUGUUCCGGGCUGCACACGUGCUACAAUGAUCUAUGCACUAAGCAUCUUUUAGUUCCGUAAUGUGCGUUCCUCUUCGAGGUUCGACACGUAUGCGGCAUGCCUACUUCGAGAGCUAGUAGGUAAUCACUUGGUAAUAUAGAUUUCCUUUGCAUUGCGACAUCAGGGCUACUUGUAGUUUCUGGUGUCGUGUGUCUUCAAAUUAUGACUUCUUAGUGGGGACAGACCAUUGUUAAUUGUUGGUCUCGCUUUAACUAGGAAUGCCUUGUACAGGUGGUUCAACAGACCGCCUGGAAUACGUCCCUGCCCUUUGUACACACCGCCCGUCGCUCUUACCGAUGGACUACUCCAUGAGUCUGAGGGACUCGUCUCGUUACGGGAAACUUAGGCGAAUGGCAUGGUCUAGAGGAAAGAGAAGUCGUAACAAGGCAUCUGUAGGUGAACCUGCAGAAGGAUCA
Molecule: ribosomal RNA, 957 nt
Filed under: Foraminifera environmental sample
Lineage: Eukaryota; Foraminifera
Description: bacterial SSU rRNA
Rfam family: Eukaryotic small subunit ribosomal RNA
Source: RNAcentral